AUUGAACGCUGGCGGCAGGCCUAACACAUGCAAGUCGAACGGUAACAGGAAGCAGCUUGCUGCUUCGCUGACGAGUGGCGGACGGGUGAGUAAUGUCUGGGAAACUGCCUGAUGGAGGGGGAUAACUACUGGAAACGGUAGCUAAUACCGCAUAACGUCGCAAGACCAAAGAGGGGGACCUUAGGGCCUCUUGCCAUCGGAUGUGCCCAGAUGGGAUUAGCUAGUAGGUGGGGUAACGGCUCACCUAGGCGACGAUCCCUAGCUGGUCUGAGAGGAUGACCAGCCACACUGGAACUGAGACACGGUCCAGACUCCUACGGGAGGCAGCAGUGGGGAAUAUUGCACAAUGGGCGCAAGCCUGAUGCAGCCAUGCCGCGUGUAUGAAGAAGGCCGUCGGGUUGUAAAGUACUUUCAGCGGGGAGGAAGGGAGUAAAGUUAAUACCUUUGCUCAUUGACGUUACCCGCAGAAGAAGCACCGGCUAACUCCGUG
RNAcentral lists this ribosomal RNA (490 nucleotides) under uncultured bacterium. Its description in RNAcentral is "partial 16S ribosomal RNA". It matches the Rfam family "Bacterial small subunit ribosomal RNA", at positions 30 to 507 of the family's 1533-position model. The record is from RNAcentral.